GGGCUUGACAUCCCACGAACCUGCCCGAAAGGGUAGGGUGCCCGCAAGGGAGCGUGGAGACAGGUGGUGCAUGGCUGUCGUCAGCUCGUGUCGUGAGAUGUUGGGUUAAGUCCCGCAACGAGCGCAACCCUCACCCCUUGUUGCCACCGGGUUAUGCCGAGCACUCUAGGGGAACUGCCAGCGUCAAGCUGGAGGAAGGCGGGGAUGACGUCAAGUCAUCAUGCCCCUUACGCCCCGGGCUACACACGUGCUACAAUGGCCGGCACAAAGGGAUGCAAGACCGCGAGGUGGAGCUAACCCCAAAAAACCGGUCUAAGUUCAGAUUGCAGUCUGCAACUCGACUGCAUGAAGGAGGAAUCGCUAGUAAUCGCGCAUCAGCACGGCGCGGUGAAUACGUUCCCGGGCCUUGUACACACCGCCCCUCACACCACGAAAGCCGGCUGUACUCGAAGUCGCUGAGA
RNAcentral lists this ribosomal RNA (461 nucleotides) under uncultured Methylomirabilota bacterium. Its description in RNAcentral is "bacterial SSU rRNA". It matches the Rfam family "Bacterial small subunit ribosomal RNA", at positions 977 to 1435 of the family's 1533-position model. Lineage: Bacteria; Methylomirabilota (SeqCode). The record is from RNAcentral.